Molecule: long non-coding RNA, 177 nt
Organism: Dendronephthya gigantea
Lineage: Eukaryota; Metazoa; Cnidaria; Anthozoa; Malacalcyonacea; Nephtheidae
Exons: 3
Source: RefSeq, a predicted model, not a curated record
AUUCAACAGUACAUUCAAACUUACAAUGGCAAGAUAUUCAAAUUACAGAAAUUAUUUCUGGAAGGUUCAAGCAAUCAUGAGCAAAGAGAGGAACCGAAUCUGGACCAAGAAAAUGAGAACGAGUUCAGUGACGUCUUAAAAGGAAUGAAUCCGUUGGAAAUAGUAAAAAGAAUGUGC